This 497-nucleotide ribosomal RNA is filed under the name uncultured bacterium. RNAcentral describes it as "partial 16S ribosomal RNA". It matches the Rfam family "Bacterial small subunit ribosomal RNA", at positions 28 to 507 of the family's 1533-position model. The record is from RNAcentral.
GACGAACGCUGGCGGCGUGCCUAAUACAUGCAAGUUGAGCGCUGAAGGUUGGUACUUGUACCGACUGGAUGAGCAGCGAACGGGUGAGUAACGCGUGGGGAAUCUGCCUUUGAGCGGGGGACAACAUUUGGAAACGAAUGCUAAUACCGCAUAAAAACUUUAAACACAAGUUUUAAGUUUGAAAGAUGCAAUUGCAUCACUCAAAGAUGAUCCCGCGGUGUAUUAGCUAGUUGGUGAGGUAAAGGCUCACCAAGGCGAUGAUACAUAGCCGACCUGAGAGGGUGAUCGGCCACAUUGGGACUGAGACACGGCCCAAACUCCUACGGGAGGCAGCAGUAGGGAAUCUUCGGCAAUGGACGAAAGUCUGACCGAGCAACGCCGCGUGAGUGAAGAAGGGUUUCGGAUCGUAAAACUCUGUUGGUAGAGAAGAACGUUGGUGAGAGUGGAAAGCUCAUCAAGUGACGGUAACUACCCAGAAAGGGACGGCUAACUACGUG